UAUCUUCUUCUCUCCCACUUAAUUGUGGCCACAUAGCCAUCUUUUCCCCCACUAAAUUUUGUCCACGCGGAUACUUUCUCACCACAUACAUCAUAUUCCACUCUCACGUGGAAAAAAAAGAAAAGUCUCAGAAACAGAGAAAAAGGAGGAUCCUCUUUCUCAAACUUCAACCUCCAUUCCUAUAAAAACUCCCUCUAAAUGUAAACCAUGGACCUGAAGAAAAGAGAGAAACUUCCUCUUCACUCAGAUGCUACUGUAACUACUUUUCCUUUCCCCUCACACUACAUCUUGCUUCUCCAAUGACUUCGGUGAAACUGCUUUGAUUCACGAUCGCGAAACAACGGUAAGGGUUCGACAUUGUGGUAAUAUUUUGCUUCGUACUUCCCCUGGUGUUGUGUCGUUAACCAAAUUAGCGGGUGUUGUGAUUAUUAUUUUAGAUUGCUUUGAGUUUUUUUUAGGAUGUUGCAGUAUAUUAUAACUUUGUAUAGUUGAUUUUUUUAAAAAAU
Molecule: long non-coding RNA, 506 nt
Filed under: Lathyrus oleraceus (garden pea)
Lineage: Eukaryota; Viridiplantae; Streptophyta; Magnoliopsida; Fabales; Fabaceae
Description: Pisum sativum (pea) long non-coding RNA (PSAT_LNC005930)
Source: RNAcentral